GCCCGGAUGGUCUAGUGGUAUGAUUCGCGCUUAGUAAGCCUCCCAUUAGUGACCGAUUCGUUUGCUUGCAAUUUACUAACAACAUCUCCAGGGGUUCACCCAAAGCAUUGACUGCGCGAGGUCCCCGGUUCGAUCCCGGGUUCGGGCC
Non-coding RNA from Aspergillus pseudonomiae, 148 nucleotides. NCBI's taxonomy places the organism in Eukaryota, Fungi, Ascomycota, Eurotiomycetes, Eurotiales, Aspergillaceae. The record is from the annotation of a RefSeq genome assembly.